CAUGCCUAUGGGUCGCUCCUGCCUGUGCUCACAGGCUCACUGUUGGCUCUCCUGGGGAGCACAGCCUGCGGAGUCCCCCGGGAUUUCAGCAGGAGUGACCCCGCGAAGCCUUGCGUUUCCCAGUGCCGGUGGCUGUGCCAAUCCCCUGCUAUUUACUGAGUUUUAAUUAACAGCUUGCCCAGUCCUGGAAACUUCCUCUUCUCCUCGAUCCCAAGCAAAAGCACCUCUCAGGGGUCUUCACCUUUUGUCCUCAAAGCCUGUUUGGGCUGGAUUCGAGGGCAGGCUGUUCUCAGCCACUGCGGCGCAAACGCUCGGCGUUGUUCAGCCCUUUCUAUCCAUCCCAUCCGUCCCACAGGAGCCCCCGUCUGCAUCUCACAGCACCCAGCUGGGCUGCAGCAGUGUCCACUAGAGCGAGCAGGCUGCAGGGAUGGGCUAAGAUUCCCGAAAAACUUCCCCAGCUUCUGUGUACCCUGAGAAAUGCCUCUUUCACCCCUUGGACUCAUACGAUAUCUCUCUGGCCUUCCCAUGUCCUCCUGCCCCCUUCUCCAGCAACAGAAGCCUCUGAACGGCGGCUCAGAACAGAAGAUGAUGUGUUUUUUUCCGCGUCUCCUCCUCUACCUGCAUCUAUUUGCUUGGAUGGCAGCCAGAAAGAUGCCAGGCAAAAUCUCCCGAGCUGAGAAGGAAGAGGAGGGAGAUGCCACCUGAAAACAUGAUACUUUUGCUGAUGAAUGGGGAAAUAAAUAGGGCUGGUUGUCACUGGCAUGGCUCUGGCAGGCCAGACAUCAUGGUUCAAGGAUGCUAGGGCUGAUCUCCUGCGUUGGGAGUGAUCCUCAGCUCUGUCCAAGGACCCUUCUUAUGCCCCACAAAAGAUGAGAGGGUGCAGGGGAAGGGAAGUACCUUCCUCAGGUAGUGCUGAGCAGGAAGUUCCUGCUGAAAUCAGGGUCUUCUCUAUGCCCUCCAUGAUGCUCUUCCUCUUUCCAGUGAGCUGAUGAAGGUGGGAGGCCAGGACCUGCCAAGCCAAGCAGGACUCAAGGGUCAACUUAAUCGUGUUCUAAACUGUUGAAACAGGGCUUGUCACCAAAAAAGGUGGUCCAGAAUUUGUCAGGACUUGGAGGGCAAUGGGUUGCUGAUGGGAGUGAAAGAAAUUCAAGUGACUAUAGGAGCUGAGGUGACAUAAAACCUCCUCCUUGGGGAUUUUAAUUAUAAUGUUACAGUUUUGGCUGGUAGCAUGACAGAAGGUCCGUCUGGGUGCCGUGGGGUCUUUAUCUUCCUCUAAGUAAGAGGGACAGGAAAACGAUUAGAUGGAUUGAGAGUCUGUUCAUCCAUCCCUCUACCUACUUAUCUACAAUGCAUCUCUCACCAGCCCUAUCUUUGCUUUGAAAAAAAACCCAGCAAUCUCCUUUAGAAGCCAGGAAUACAAUCAGUAUAUUCCCUCUCCAAUUCAGGUAGCUCCCCAUAAAUCUUCCCAGCUUCAGUUUGGUCUCCUAGGACUCCCGGAUCGGUUGGGAUCCUAUUUAAUCAGCUGAGAUGAUCAGCGCUGUUCACUGCCGAAAGGCCCUUUGAACUCUUUGUCUCUUCUUUGAAUGAUGCCUGUGUCUCCUGAGGAUUUAGCCAAACUGGCGCAGAAGUCUUAGGUUAAUAAUGUUGGCCGCUGGCAGUGCCUACCAAAGUCCAGCUGUGAGCCCAGGGUGCAGGGAAGAGUCGCAGCCCCUCUGCCAAGCCCUUAUCGCUGCAUCUUCCCUCAGCUCCUCACUUGGCUCGCUGCAAAAUCUAAUUGCCAAGCCAGCAUGGAAAGCAUCCAGCCUGGGAAGAGAAUUAUAGCUCCUUUUGGGAAGGCUCAGCAAAGGCUGGAAGGGUGCGUGUGAACUCACAGCCCCCCAAGAUCCUGGGGGCGCAGGCUUGGAUUUUAGCAUAUUUCAGUGCAUUUUAAGUUUUAGUUGGUUGGGAUCAGCUCCACACCAGUACUUUUGUUGAGGGAUGGUGGCUUCUGGAAGAGGUUUCCCAUGCUGCUCCAGCCCUUGGGAGCAGGGAGCUCAGCACUUCUCAGGAUCCAGCCUCCAGGUAGCAAAUCCAGAGCUGUUUAAAAUGACAGGACUUCUUCCACCGACUUGGACCAGAUUUCACUCAGGGAAAUGUUGAACUGUGACCUUCAGUAGCCAGGUUUCUCUUUUAGGCCUUGUUGAUAUUGUGCUCCAGGUGGCUGCUCUUUGAUUCCCCAACAGCCUCCAAGCAACCCAACCUGGUGAGAAGCACCCAGAUCCUCACCUCAUCUCCAUGCAGCUCUGGCCCAAGGGGCUGGUGUUUCCCCUUCCAAAGGCUGCUGCUCUCCAUAUACCAUAACUUAGCAUAGACCACCAUCAAGACAGGCAAAGCAACCUAAUCUAUGAGCGCAUUAGGGUGUUGGAAAACAAUAAUCCAAGAAGGAAACACAUUAUCUGGCCUUGUUACUUUACAAAGUAAUUUAAAUUAAUUUUUCCCUAGAGUGGUUAGGGAGCACUGCAACUUGCCCUUGUCUAUUCUCUCCAGCUAAUGAAGCUUUACCAGCGACUGCUCGUGAAUUCCUAUUAAGACCUCAUCUUAGAGGUUACAGGGCAAAGCAAUUUCUGCUCCUGGGAAAGAUGCCUAUGAAUUUGUAAUUGUAAGUCCGUGUUUGAUAGGGAUUAGCAUCUGAAAGGGGUAGAGUGGUGAGUAGCAGAGAAAACAUUAUUUCAAUUAGCAGAAGAAAAGCAACUUAACAUCUGAUUAUAGUUUACACUUUCAAUUUUCUCCCAUUCUGGCAUCUGGGAUAAUUAUUUCCUGAAACUAUCCACUCCUACCAAGCCAGCCAGCUCUUUCCUUCUCUUCCUCUUGGCCAUCUUGGUUGAAAGUCACAUGGGAACAGUUGAUGAGUUGGGUUUUUCCUUUCCUAUUUUCUCCCACACAGUAGCCAGACUCACCAGAUUUGAGGAUGGAGAAGAGGAUGCUGUACUGAGACAGGCUGAAAUGAGAUACGAUGUUUCUCUUCGCACCAAGGAGGCGCAGGAUGAGGAGGAUGGGGCUUUGCUCUGCAGCCAGGCUCAUGGUUAGGCUUGUGGCCAGUAGCUCCGCGCAGUGCCAGUGCCGAGCUCUCCCAGGCAAAGCCCCAAUGCCUAAAGCUUCACUCUGCAUUCAGAAAUUACCUCUGAUCACCCCCUCUUCUCCUACUUCAUAAAGGCAGGUGCUGUUCUCUCUGCAGGGCCUUGGCCCUUGUGCUACCUGUACUCCAGCUAUAUUUUCUGGCUGCUUGGUCUCAUAUUUCCUAAUGACGUUGCAAUCAGUUUUCGGCUGGGAAAUUCCUUGUGAGAAGGCUCGUUGUUAUUUAAGGAAGAUCAUGAAAUCCAUCCUUAAUGAAAGAACAGCAGUAAACCCUUCCACCAAGUUACACUGAAGCCUGAGAUUAUCAUUUUUAUGGGCUUCCAAUCUUUCCUGCCUCAUGUCUUAUCAGCGAAUGCAGCUGGAGGCUUCAAAAACCCUCCCAGCUUGCUGCUGGUUUUAUGGGAUGAAGAUUAGAGAUGAUCGGAUAGUAAAUUAUUCAUUCCAUUCGAUAUCGCUGGGCAGGAGGGAAUAUCCAGAGCGAAGUCAGCUCCCUUCUCCCUUUCUGAGCAUCGUGUAUUGGGAUUCCAGCUAUCUGCCACUCCAGCAAUGCAGUGGCACUUUCCCCUGUGCUCAGAGAUGAUUAGGGGUGGAAUGCUCUCCGAGCAGAUGGGAAAGCGGAGGGGGAGUCAUGGAUGCAGGUUCGUCCCUGAGCAAUAAGGCAGACCGGAGGCAGGUGUAUUUCCUUCUUGUUUCAGGAAUUUUUAGUUUGAUUCUUCCCAGCCCAAGGCAAGGUGAGACGAAUCAGGUGUUUUCUCAGCCUAAUUUCUCAACAUUGUGGGACCUGAGACUGAUCAGAAAGUGCUACCAGACUCGUGGCAGCAUGGAGAAGCAGGGAGCUCAGAGAGGACAAAUCCAGGCAGCCGUGUGCAAACGGGCAGACGGAUAGAGGAGGGACCCCACUGCUGCCCUUAGAUGGAUGGAGCAGCAGCAUUGCCCAUCGGGGCCCUGCACAGGCACCAGUUGGUGGAAAUGCUGCCCAGAGACCUGUGCCAAAAAACAGCAAGUGUAAAAAUAUCAUCCAGAAAAUCCUAUGAAAUACGUGCAGGCUGUGGUGAUGCUGCUGAGCAGAAAAUGAAGGAAGAAGCAUGGCCCAAUGCGAUACCUGAUGCUGGUGUCCAAUCUCAGGCGGCUGCUGGGUACCAGCUCCCAGCAAGCAUCCCGGCUGAUCCCACUGGAGCAUCCAGGCUGCCAAGGAGAAGGUGAAACCCCACAUCCUCCCCAACUGAGGGCCCAGGAGGGAUCAGAGCUGCUACCAACACCCUCUCACUGCUGCUUACUCAAGACCUGCAAUUAGCAUCAACAAUGGGGAACUCAUGAAUGGUCUAAUAAAAUGUCUAAUCAAA
Long non-coding RNA from Cuculus canorus (common cuckoo), 4457 nucleotides. RefSeq lists it as uncharacterized. The transcript is spliced from 2 exons. NCBI's taxonomy places the organism in Eukaryota, Metazoa, Chordata, Aves, Cuculiformes, Cuculidae. The record is from RefSeq and is a predicted model, not a curated record.